RNAcentral lists this long non-coding RNA (3541 nucleotides) under Acanthaster planci (crown-of-thorns starfish). Its description in RNAcentral is "uncharacterized LOC110979753". Lineage: Eukaryota; Metazoa; Echinodermata; Asteroidea; Valvatida; Acanthasteridae. The record is from RNAcentral.
ACUCGAACAAACAUACAUUUCCGCCAUUUUUUAAAAAAGAAAUGUGCACGUUCACGUUGCCCAAGAUUGUUUUCCAGUGAUUUGCGAGUACUUUUGCCACUCGAAUUUACUCAAAUGCAGUUCUGUACAGUACUCCAACAACUGAUACAACCUUGAGUAUGAGCCACUUACAUGUACGUCAUUGAGGCACCUACUACCACAGACUGGAGAAAUAGCCAUGGCAUGUUAGCUUCUUUUGUGAUAGUGUUCUGCAGUUGAUCAGCAUCACAGAACCAGCUUUGUAAAGAACUCUUGCCAAGUGUUGACGUUCAUGAAUCAACAUUCAAGAAAGAAGAAUUCUUCAGCGACACUGGAGGAGUCACUGCAGGCCAAUACAAGUUGCUGAAGGCCACUACAAGUUGCUGAAGGUCACUACAAGUUGCUGACCGUCUCUACAAGUUGCUGACCUUCUCUACAAGUUGCUGAAGGCCACUACAAGUUGCUGAAGGUCACUACAAGUUGCUGGAGGUCACUACACGUUGCUGAAGCUCACUGUUGGUCCAAACUGUCACCUGACCAAACAGAUGUGCAUAACAGCUCCCCCAGUGUGGAUUUCUUGAUGUACCGAUGCUGAUUUGAUGAUGUGGGCUAUGGACAUUUGGAUUUCUUCACCAGCAUUGCCAUUCCACAGCUUGGACGUUGAGUAGUAUGAACAUGCACAGUUAGAGCAGAACUAUAUAGGGAAUACCCUCAGACCCCCUUAGGUCCAACUCACUGGUACAUACAGUAGUGUUUGGGCCCAGGAAACAGUCGUUUGUUGCCUGCAGUUCCAUCCCUCUUUUGCUGCCAGUGACAGGACACUCAGAAGUAGAUAUGAUGAAAGAAUCAACUUGACUUUGGCAGAUCGUGUUUUAAGUUUGGUGUAAUUGAUGCCAGUUACUCACGGAGGAGUUUCAGCUUUUACAAUGAAUGUUGUGACACGUACUUGUUUGUGCAUUCAUGUAUGUGCCUGAUUCGGCUUGCCUUGUGAUGUCUCUAUCAUGAUGCAUCUACCAAAUUGGAUAAUGUAAGAGCCAUCCACACUACGGGGGAGAAUGCAAUGUCAGCCUUAGAUCAACCCCAUGUCUGAGAUUGAGCAAGAUGGAGAAGCACGCACUCCCUGAGACCUUGAGACCUAUCCAGCAAGCACGAUAACAUCCUUGCAUAAGGAUUUUGUUGCACAGUUUGUCUGAUGUUAACUCUCACAGGAUGUAUUGAGUGGUUUAUGCAGGUCACCUACCUGUAGGUGACUGUGGAGAUGACCUAAGUUUUGAACACAUCUCCUCUGCCCAUCUCCCCUCUGCUAAUGGCAAUGAUGCAUUCCAAGCUGGAUUGAGAGAGACCCAAGUUUGUUGAUGAGCCCUUUGAGACAUUGGUUUGAUGAAUGAUCCAUACCAUGACUUGCUUCAAGGAAGGAACAAAGUGUGUUUAGGAGAUGCAACAGUUGCUAAGGAGAUGCUUGGGAUGCAUGCUGCCACAGCCUACUGGGAUGUGAUGACAUGAAUGCCAUAAAUGAACUGACUCUUGGCAAUUUGAGGCACAUACUGCCAUGGACAAUCAAACACAGCAUGGAACUUGAACUCUUAGAAUAUGUCAAAGAGCACUUGACCUCUCCUGUCUUGAGUGUCUUAAGGAUCACUGAAGAUUUUCUUGGUAGACAUAAUCAUCCUUGGGUAGGCCUACAUGUACUCUAACGCAGGUGUUUGAAGGAUGAUCCUUACAAUUUGGCCAAAGCCUUUAAGUUGUGCUUUCCUAGUUAAUGGGCACAAUGUAAUCGUGAGCUGAGACAAAGUGAUACCUCAGAGUGACUCGAAAUUGAAUUCAGACUGUCUUGCAGACUUUUUCGUUGCAAAAUGGGUUAAAAAAUGAAAAUGGUCCCAAAGUUUCAGGGCAGCCAAGGGCAGGAGAGGUGGAGUAUUAGACACAGCUUGAGAUGGAAAGACAUUCACUUGAAAGGCAGUCAACAAUUUCCUUGAAGACUUUCAAUUAUUUUCUUUCUUCUUUCUUAUACCAGAAUUCUAAUUCGGCUCCACAGCUUUGUCCUUUUCUGUAAAAUAUGUUGAGGACAGUACCCUCUUAAUCACUUGGGAAAAACAGAGAGUUUCUGUUGAUGUUUAUCAAAUGUAAGUGCUCUAAACUUAAAAGAAUGAUUGAUGUAAUUGUUGACUGCCUGAAGGUGUUGUCAAAAUGAUACCUUAAUAUCAAGUCAUCAUCAAGGUAACUGGGCUCCUACAAAAGCCAGCUUGUUACUUCAGGGGAGUUUUGCUUUGGUUUGCAUGGUUCCAACCAGCACAUGUGAUCUCCCAUUUUUAAACAAAUUAUUAUUAGUUGUAUUCUACUUUCUUUUCACUUAUCAUCCUGAAUCAGAUUGAAAUCAGUACCGCACCACUUGGACUUUCCUCACUCUGACUUCCAUCACAGAUCUAAGAAAUCUCAAUCUGAGAAAUUUCCGCAGCAAUGUCAUCAAUUUACACAAUGUUAUAGAAUAAUAUUUAUUGCUUGGCGAUGUUCUUUGGCAUCAAGCCAAAAAUGUUUUUUGUGGGAGCCGGUUACAUUGAGCAAAAGAUAGUUGGAGGUGAUUUUAACAAUGCCUGUAAGGUAAUACUUUCAUUGGGUACAAGAUUGGUCAUUGGUCACUGAAGCGUAUUUUUGAAUUAGUCUCCGUGUAUCCAAUGCAGAUAGAAACAAUACUUGUUUUAUUUUGCACUUUCCUUGGCUGUACCAGUAGUGCAAAAUACUGGAGCUUGAUAUUAACAUACACGAGGAGAGUAAGAAUUCCCCAGAACUUGACCAAACUGGAAAUCUACUAGAACUAAUCUGAAGCGUGGCAUACAAACAAACAAAAAGACAACUUUUUGCCAAGCUUUGUCACCAUAUUCGACAAACAUCAAGGAAGGGAGACUUUAUUUUGUUAAUUGUAUUUGUUUUUGCAAGUAGGAAGACUUUAACAAACUGCCAUUUUUCAUUUCUACUGAUUCAGAUUUCCUUUUUUGGGAGGAGGGAGGAGAGUUUCAAAAGCAUCUCUUUUUUUUUUAGAGUAUUCAUGACUCAUAAACUUAUGGAAUUGUUUCAGUAUGAAAUGUACAAUUUUUGAAUUACUAAGUCAAACAAAAUCUAAACAAAAAUUUGUUUUUGUUUUCACUUGGUUCAUUUUUCAAGGUUACUCUUGAUUACAUUAUCACAGUAUUUUAUCCUUUUUUCGUCUAGUGGUGCAUCUGAUACUAAAUGUUAGUCUCCUUUUACCUGACCAAUCUUGUGCCCAAUAUAUUACGCUUGUCUCGUAUAAUCAGCACCAGCAAGUACCUCAAACAUAAAAACAUCCAUUUAGUCUGACUCUUAAUUGGCAGUUUUGAGGAAAAGUCACUCAAUACCACAAAUUUCUUCAGAAUUCCAAAUUCAAACUGUCAGUUAAUGCAUGUAUAUUCCUGUUUAGAGAUUUUUGGCUAGAAGUCCGAAGGUUAGAGUGGAUGUACAUGCCAGUACAUGGAGGCCUAUUUCUUUCACAGGGGCAUCAUGGAGAAUA